Molecule: ribosomal RNA, 468 nt
Filed under: uncultured bacterium
Lineage: Bacteria
Description: partial 16S ribosomal RNA
Rfam family: Bacterial small subunit ribosomal RNA
Source: RNAcentral
GACGAACGCUGGCGGCGUGCUUAACACAUGCAAGUCGAACGGAAAGGCCCUGCUUUUGUGGGGUGCUCGAGUGGCGAACGGGUGAGUAACACGUGAGUAACCUGCCCUUGACUUUGGGAUAACUUCAGGAAACUGGGGCUAAUACCGGAUAGGAGCUCCUGCUGCAUGGUGGGGGUUGGAAAGUUUCGGCGGUUGGGGAUGGACUCGCGGCUUAUCAGCUUGUUGGUGGGGGAGUGGCUUACCAAGGCUUUGGCGGGUAGCCGGCCUGAGAGGGGGACCGGCCACAUUGGGACUGAGAUACGGCCCAGACUCCUACGGGAGGCAGCAGUGGGGAAUAUUGCACAAUGGGCGGAAGCCUGAUGCAGCAACGCCGCGUGCGGGAUGACGGCCUUCGGGUUGUAAACCGCUUUCGCCUGUGACGAAGCGUGAGUGACGGUAAUGGGUAAAGAAGCACCGGCUAACUACGUG